This 70-nucleotide transfer RNA is filed under the name Dipodomys ordii (Ord's kangaroo rat). It matches the Rfam family "tRNA". From Rfam's summary of the family: Transfer RNA (tRNA) molecules are approximately 80 nucleotides in length. Their secondary structure includes four short double-helical elements and three loops (D, anti-codon, and T loops). The record is from Rfam by way of RNAcentral. Lineage: Eukaryota; Metazoa; Chordata; Mammalia; Rodentia; Heteromyidae.
GGGGAGGUAGCUCAGUGGUAGAGUGCUUGCCUUGCAUGCAUGAGGCCCUAGGUUCGAUUCCUCAGCACCA